RNAcentral lists this ribosomal RNA (161 nucleotides) under Hordeum comosum. RNAcentral describes it as "5.8S ribosomal RNA". It matches the Rfam family "5.8S ribosomal RNA". Rfam says of the family: 5.8S ribosomal RNA (5.8S rRNA) is a component of the large subunit of the eukaryotic ribosome. It is transcribed by RNA polymerase I as part of the 45S precursor that also contains 18S and 28S rRNA. The record is from RNAcentral. Lineage: Eukaryota; Viridiplantae; Streptophyta; Magnoliopsida; Poales; Poaceae.
ACGACUCUCGGCAACGGAUAUCUUGGCUCUCGCAUCGAUGAAGAACAUAGCGAAAUGCGAUACCUGGUGUGAAUUGCAGAAUCCCGCGAACCAUCGAGUCUUUGAACGCAAGUUGCGCCCGAGGCCACUCGGCCGAGGGCACGCCUGCCUGGGCGUCACGC